This 312-nucleotide ribosomal RNA is filed under the name uncultured Thermus sp. Its description in RNAcentral is "bacterial SSU rRNA". It matches the Rfam family "Bacterial small subunit ribosomal RNA", at positions 1070 to 1382 of the family's 1533-position model. The record is from RNAcentral. Lineage: Bacteria; Thermotogati; Deinococcota; Deinococci; Thermales; Thermaceae.
GAGUGUUGGGUUAAGUCCCGCAACGAGCGCAACCCCCGCCGUUAGUUGCCAGCGGUUCGGCCGGGCACUCUAACGGGACUGCCCGCGAAAGCGGGAGGAAGGAGGGGACGACGUCUGGUCAGCAUGGCCCUUACGGCCUGGGCGACACACGUGCUACAAUGCCCACUACAAAGCGAGGCCACCCGGCAACGGGGAGCUAAUCGCAAAAAGGUGGGCCCAGUUCGGAUUGGGGUCUGCAACCCGACCCCAUGAAGCCGGAAUCGCUAGUAAUCGCGGAUCAGCCAUGCCGCGGUGAAUACGUUCCCGGGCCUU